CUUAUAAUGCAAGGCGAAGGGGCGGCAACGUCACUGUCGUACGGGUGCGUAACGCGUAUGCAACCUACCUAUCACUGGGGGAUAGCCCGGGGAAACCCGGAUUAAUACCGCAUAAAACAGGGGCACCGCAUGGUGAUAUUUGUUAAAGAUUUAUUGGUGAUAGAUGGGCAUGCGUUCGAUUAGCUAGUUGGCGGGGUAACGGCCCACCAAGGCGACGAUCGAUAGGGGAGCUGAGAGGUUGAUCCCCCACACGGGCACUGAGAUACGGGCCCGACUCCUACGGGAGGCAGCAGUAGGGAAUAUUGGGCAAUGGAUGCAAGUCUGACCCAGCCAUGCCGCGUGCCGGAUGAAGGCCCUCAGGGUUGUAAACGGUUUUUAUUCGGGAAGAAGAGCAGGGAUGCGUCCUUGUGUGACGGUACCGAAUGAAUAAGCACCGGCUAACUCCGUGCCAGCAGCCGCGGUAAUACGGAGGGUGCGAGCGUUGUCCGGAUUUAUUGGGUUUAAAGGGUGCGUAGGUGGCCUGUUAAGUCAGUGGUGAAAUACGGUUGCUCAACAAUCGAGGUGCCAUUGAUACUGACCGGUUUGAAAUAAUUGGAGGCUGCCGGAAUGGAUGGUGUAGCGGUGAAAUGCAUAUAUAUCAUCCAGAACACCGAUUUGCGAAGGCUGGUGGCUACUAUUGGUUUUGACAUUGAG
Molecule: ribosomal RNA, 693 nt
Filed under: Dyadobacter fermentans
Lineage: Bacteria; Pseudomonadati; Bacteroidota; Cytophagia; Cytophagales; Spirosomataceae
Description: bacterial SSU rRNA
Rfam family: Bacterial small subunit ribosomal RNA
Source: RNAcentral